UUUUUGAAAAUAAUAUAAAGUCUAGUCUGCCCACUGAUAAUUUAUUAAAGGGCUGCAGUAUUUUGACUGUACAAAGGUAGCAUAAUCAUUUGUCUCUUAAUUGGUGACUUGUAUGAAAGAUUGGAUGAAAUAUAAACUGUCUCAUUAUAAUUAUUAAAACUUAAUUUUUUAGUUAAAAAGCUAAAAUAUUUUUAAAAGACGAGAAGACCCUAUAGAGUUUAAUAAUUAUUUUAAUAUAAAUAAAAUGUAAAAAUUAAAAUUUAAAUUAAAUUAAUUAUUUUGUUGGGGUGACAGAAAAAUUAAAUUAACUUUUUUUAAAAAUAAACAUGAAUAAGUGAGUAAAUGAUCCAUUAUUAAUGAUUAAAAGAAAAAAUUACCUUAGGGAUAACAGCGUAAUUUUUUUUUUUAGGCCAAAUAAGAAAAAAAGUUUGCGACCUCGAUGUUGGAUUAAGAUAAAAUUUAAAUGCAAAAGUUUAAAAUUUUGAUCUGUUCGACCAUUAAAA
This 503-nucleotide ribosomal RNA is filed under the name Troides hypolitus sangirensis. Its description in RNAcentral is "partial 16S ribosomal RNA". It matches the Rfam family "Bacterial large subunit ribosomal RNA", at positions 1830 to 2593 of the family's 2925-position model. The record is from RNAcentral. Lineage: Eukaryota; Metazoa; Arthropoda; Insecta; Lepidoptera; Papilionidae.